RNAcentral lists this ribosomal RNA (468 nucleotides) under uncultured bacterium. Its description in RNAcentral is "partial 16S ribosomal RNA". It matches the Rfam family "Bacterial small subunit ribosomal RNA", at positions 28 to 507 of the family's 1533-position model. The record is from RNAcentral.
GACGAACGCUGGCGGCGUGCUUAACACAUGCAAGUCGAACGGAAAGGCCCUGCUUUUGUGGGGUGCUCGAGUGGCGAACGGGGGAGUAACACGUGAGUAACCUGCCCUUGACUUUGGGAUAACUUCAGGAAACUGGGGCUAAUACCGGAUAGGAGCUCCUGCUGCAUGGGGGGGGUUGGAAAGUUUCGGCGGUUGGGGAUGGACUCGCGGCUUAUCAGCUUGUUGGUGGGGUAGUGGCGUACCAAGGCUUUGACGGGUAGCCGGCCUGAGAGGGUGACCGGCCACAUUGGGACUGAGAUACGGCCCAGACUCCUACGGGAGGCAGCAGUGGGGAAUAUUGCACACUGGGCGGAAGCCUGAUGCAGCAACGCCGCGUGCGGGAUGACGGCCUUCGGGUUGUAAACCGCUUUCGCCUGUGACGAAGCGUGAGUGACGGUAAUGGGUAAAGAAGCACCGGCUAACUACGUG